Molecule: ribosomal RNA, 492 nt
Filed under: uncultured bacterium
Lineage: Bacteria
Description: partial 16S ribosomal RNA
Rfam family: Bacterial small subunit ribosomal RNA
Source: RNAcentral
AGUGAACGCUGGCGGUAGGCCUAACACAUGCAAGUCGAACGGCAGCACAGUAAGAGCUUGCUCUUACGGGUGGCGAGUGGCGGACGGGUGAGGAGUACAUCGGAAUCUACUUUUUCGUGGGGGAUAACGUAGGGAAACUUACGCUAAUACCGCAUACGACCUACGGGUGAAAGCAGGGGAUCUUCGGACCUUGCGCGAUUGAAUGAGCCGAUGUCGGAUUAGCUGGUUGGCGGGGUAAAGGCCCACCAAGGCGACGAUCCGUAGCUGGUCUGAGAGGAUGAUCAGCCACACUGGAACUGAGACACGGUCCAGACUCCUACGGGAGGCAGCAGUGGGGAAUAUUGGACAAUGGGCGCAAGCCUGAUCCAGCCAUACCGCGUGGGUGAAGAAGGCCUUCGGGUUGUAAAGCCCUUUUGUUGGGAAAGAAAAGCAGCAGGUUAAUACCCCGCUGUUCUGACGGUACCCAAAGAAUAAGCACCGGCUAACUUCGUG